This 253-nucleotide ribosomal RNA is filed under the name uncultured bacterium. RNAcentral describes it as "partial 16S ribosomal RNA". It matches the Rfam family "Bacterial small subunit ribosomal RNA", at positions 524 to 776 of the family's 1533-position model. The record is from RNAcentral.
UACGUAGGGGGCAAGCGUUAUCCGGAUUUACUGGGUGUAAAGGGAGCGUAGACGGCGAUGCAAGUCUGAAGUGAAAGGCGGGGGCCCAACCCCCGGACUGCUUUGGAAACUGCAUGGCUGGAGUGCAGGAGAGGUAAGUGGAAUUCCUAGUGUAGCGGUGAAAUGCGUAGAUAUUAGGAGGAACACCAGUGGCGAAGGCGGCUUACUGGAUUGUAACUGACGUUGAGGCUCGAAAGCGUGGGGAGCAAACAGG